Molecule: ribosomal RNA, 468 nt
Filed under: uncultured bacterium
Lineage: Bacteria
Description: partial 16S ribosomal RNA
Rfam family: Bacterial small subunit ribosomal RNA
Source: RNAcentral
GACGAACGCUGGCGGCGUGCUUAACACAUGCAAGUCGAACGGAAAGGCCCUGCUUUUGUGGGGUGCUCGAGUGGCGAACGGGUGAGUAACACGUGAGUAACCUGCCCUUGACUUUGGGAUAACUUCAGGAAACUGGGGCUAAUACCGGAUAGGAGCUCCUGCUGCAUGGUGGGGGUUGGAAAGGUUCGGCGGUUGGGGAUGGACUCGCGGCUUAUCAGCUUGUUGGUGGGGUAGUGGCUUACCAAGGCUUUGACGGGUAGCCGGCCUGGGAGGGUGACCGGCCACAUUGGGACUGAGAUACGGCCCAGACUCCUACGGGAGGCAGCAGUGGGGAAUAUUGCACAAUGGGCGGAAGCCUGAUGCAGCAACGCCGCGUGCGGGAUGACGGCCUUCGGGUUGUAAACCGCUUUCGCCUGUGACGAAGCGUGAGUGACGGUAAUGGGUAAAGAAGCACCGGCUAACUACGUG